CUGGAGAGCUUGUGCGGCGGCGUGCCGGUGAUCAGCUGGCCGUUCUUCGCCGCCCAGCAGACCAACUGUAGGUACCAGUGCAACGAGUGGGGUGUCGGCAUGGAGAUCAACAGCAACGUCCGGCGGGACGCCGUCGCCCGACUUAUCACGGAGAUCAUGGAAGGGGAGAAGGGGAAGAGCAUGAGGAAGAGAGCGCAGGAGUGGAAGGAGAGCGCGGUCAAGGCGGCCAUGCCCGGAGGCUCGUCUCACCGAAACUUCGACGAGCUGGUCUGCGACGUGCUCCUGCCCAAGAACUAG
Molecule: ribosomal RNA, 297 nt
Filed under: Triticum aestivum (bread wheat)
Lineage: Eukaryota; Viridiplantae; Streptophyta; Magnoliopsida; Poales; Poaceae
Description: partial small subunit ribosomal RNA
Source: RNAcentral